UGCAACGCGAAGAACCUUACCUGGUACUUGACAUCCCGGAGACCCUUAGGAAACUAGGGAGUGCUUCCAUCUGGAAGAAUCUGGAGCAGGUGCUGCAUGGCUGUCGUCAGCUCGUGUCGUGAGAUGUUGGGUUAAGUCCCGCAACGAGCGCAACCCUUGCCUUUAGUUGCCAGCAGUUCGGCUGGGCACUCUAAAGGGACUGCCGGUGUUAAACCGGAGGAAGUGGGGAUGACGUCAAGUCCUCAUGGCCUUUAUGACCAGGGCCUACACACGUGCUACAAUGGUCGGUACAAAGGGUUGCCAAGCCGCGAGGUGGAGCUAAUCCCAUAAAACCGAUCGUAGUCCGGAUCGCAGUCUGCAACUCGACUGCGUGAAGUCGGAAUCGCUAGUAAUCGUGAAUCAGAAUGUCACGGUGAAUACGUUCCCGGGCCUU
Molecule: ribosomal RNA, 433 nt
Filed under: uncultured Pseudomonas sp.
Lineage: Bacteria; Pseudomonadati; Pseudomonadota; Gammaproteobacteria; Pseudomonadales; Pseudomonadaceae
Description: bacterial SSU rRNA
Rfam family: Bacterial small subunit ribosomal RNA
Source: RNAcentral